GGUGAUAUGUUGAAUAAAAUAUUUUAUAGGGAUAAAUAUCGUUAUUUGGGUUAAUUAAUAAAAUAUUUGUUAUACAUAUAUAAAUCAAACUGGUAUUGAGAUAUAAUGGUUGAAGUUGAAAUAUUAAAAUUCAUCUCUACUUGGUGCUCAAUUUCGAAUGCUUGCAAUAUUUAUAAUUUAUAAUACUUUUUCCGUCCCAAAAUACAUGUCGCUUUGACUUUUUGCACGUAAUUUCAUGUGCAAAUAAAACAUACUUUUAUACAUUAUUUUUCAAAUUUUCUUUUUCUGAAUAAAAGUAUAACGUCCAUAUUUUUAUUUAUAAAAAAGAAAAUUUGAAAAAUAAUAUAUAGACAUGUGUUUUAUUUACACCUCAAAUUACGUGAAAAAAGUCAAAGUGACAUGUAUUGUGGAACGGAGGGAGUAAUAAAU
This 429-nucleotide long non-coding RNA is filed under the name Daucus carota (carrot). Its description in RNAcentral is "long non-coding RNA (DCAR_LNC004027)". The record is from RNAcentral. Lineage: Eukaryota; Viridiplantae; Streptophyta; Magnoliopsida; Apiales; Apiaceae.